ACUUAGUGGCGAACGGGUGAGUAACACGUAGGGAACCUGCCCAUGUACCCGGGAUAACAGAUGGAAACGUCUGCUAAAACCGGAUAGGUAUAGACAAGGCAUCUUGACUAUAUUAAAGGACCUUCGGGUGUGGACAUGGAUGGACCUGCGGCGUAUUAGCCAGUUGGCGGGGUAACGGCCCACCAAAGCGAUGAUACGUAGCCGGCCUGAGAGGGUAGACGGCCACAUUGGGACUGAGGCACGGCCCAAACUCCUACGGAAGGCAGCAG
RNAcentral lists this ribosomal RNA (269 nucleotides) under uncultured bacterium. Its description in RNAcentral is "partial 16S ribosomal RNA". It matches the Rfam family "Bacterial small subunit ribosomal RNA", at positions 90 to 354 of the family's 1533-position model. The record is from RNAcentral.